This is a long non-coding RNA of Gasterosteus aculeatus aculeatus (three-spined stickleback), 353 nucleotides long. NCBI's taxonomy places the organism in Eukaryota, Metazoa, Chordata, Actinopteri, Perciformes, Gasterosteidae. The record is from Ensembl.
AUAAUUCAUAAAGACGCUUUAUUUCUUAAUGAAUUGGGGGAGUGGCCUUGCCAUUGGGCGUAAUUACCCAAAUUGGCGAUCAGAAAGGUCUCUGUGGCGCAAUUGGUCAGCGCGUUCGGCUGUUAACUGAAAGGUUGGUGGUUCAAGCCCACCCAGGGACGUUUUGAGAUUGUAAAGAAAUACAGACUUAACAUAAUUUAUAAAGACACUUUAUUUCUUAAUGAAUUGGGGGAGUGGCCUUGCCAUUGGGCGUAAUUACCCAAAUCGGCUGUCAGAAAGGUCUCUGUGGCGCAAUUGGUCAGCGCGUUCGGCUGUUAACUGAAAGGUUGGUGGUUCAACCCCACCCAGGGACU